GAUGAACGCUAGCUACAGGCUUAACACAUGCAAGUCGAGGGGAAACGAUAGAGAAAGCUUGCUUUUUCUAGGCGUCGACCGGCGCACAGGUGAGUAACGCGUAUCCAACCUGCCCAUCACUUGGGGAUAACCUUGCGAAAGUAAGACUAAUACCCAAUGACGUCUCUAGAAGACAUCUGAAAGAGAUUAAAGAUUUAUCGGUGACGGAUGGGGAUGCGUCUGAUUAGCUUGUUGGCGGGGUAACGGCCCACCAAGGCGACGAUCAGUAGGGGGUCUGAGAGGAAGGUCCCCCACAUGGGAACUGAGACACGAUCCAAACUCCUACGGGCGGCAGCAGUGAGGAAUAUUGGUCAAUGGGCGAGAGCCUGAACCAGCCCAGUAGCGUGCAGGAUGACGGCCCUAUGGGUCGUAAACUGCUUUUAUAAGGGAAUAAAGUGAGUCUCGUGAGACUUUUUGCAUGUACCUUAUGAAUAAGGACCGGCUAAUUCCGUGCCAGCCGCCGCCGUAA
RNAcentral lists this ribosomal RNA (508 nucleotides) under uncultured bacterium. RNAcentral's name for it is "partial 16S ribosomal RNA". It matches the Rfam family "Bacterial small subunit ribosomal RNA", at positions 28 to 523 of the family's 1533-position model. The record is from RNAcentral.